UAUAUGGUAUUGGCUUAUACUCGCCACAAGCUACAACAUGAACAACACAUAGAAAAAUAUAUUCAAUCACCAUGUAGAAGAGCAGGGUCCGACUACGGACGAAAGCAAACGAUAAAAGAACGACAUCCAUCCUUGCUAUCCGAGGCUGCUCGCGUGGAACCCAUCCUAGAUCGAUGAUAAAGAAUAAGAAGUAACUCCAAAUAGAACUAUCAUCGCACUCACGUCAAAGCAUCGCUUUACCUGUACAUGCAACUGUUGUUGUAGUAAUCUGUGAACCACACGGACUCGGCAAUCUCAUUUCCGAAGGUAUCAAGACUAGCAAUGCUUAAUGGGUGAGG
This 338-nucleotide long non-coding RNA is filed under the name Hordeum vulgare. Its description in RNAcentral is "long non-coding RNA (HVUL_LNC003894)". The record is from RNAcentral. Lineage: Eukaryota; Viridiplantae; Streptophyta; Magnoliopsida; Poales; Poaceae.